AGGAAAGAAAGAAGGGAGGGAGGGGAAAAGAAGGAAAUCUAAGAGUGCUCAGGAAGCACAAAAGUGGGGCUUCUCAAUCAGCCAGGAUGGGGAACAGGAGGGGGUGGGAAGAGGAGUAAAGAAUUCACAGAGAAGGUCCCUCCUGUUGAUCCGCUCAAAGAGGCCAAGAGCGAGCAGCCAGGCUGCCUCCGUCCCGAAAUGGCCCGUGAGCAGCUGGGCCAUGUCCAGGGGACCGGCUGUCUCCAUUCGUCCCCAAGGGAUCUUGUCUUCCCCACGCUCCGUCACGGUCCCCAGGAAUGCUAAGAACAUGGAUGAGGCCCAUUGCUAACUGGCUCCCAAGGAACUUGUGUGGAAGAAGGAGGUAAACAAUGUUGCUGGAAAGAAGAAAAUUGGCAAAUGUCUGGAGCCACAAGAAUAAAUCCAUCCCAGCCUCUGCCUUCAAGGACCUCAGGGUCUAAAGACAAGAAGCAAAAAUUUUUCAUGAGGGCCAAUUCAGGGGAAACUGAAUAUGUUUCCUGAGAUUUUUUUUUCCACCAGGAAAAUAUGAUUUUCUGAUUACUAAAAUGCCAUAUCUGUAUUGUAAAACAUUUCACUGUUUUAAUAAAUAGAAAGAAACAUAA
Non-coding RNA from Microcebus murinus (gray mouse lemur), 620 nucleotides. Lineage: Eukaryota; Metazoa; Chordata; Mammalia; Primates; Cheirogaleidae. The record is from RefSeq and is a predicted model, not a curated record.